CAAGAAAUGAAAAAGAGUAAGUACAAAGCAUGAAGUCGCUAUGAAUAGUUGUCAGUAUCCUGCGCCAAUCUAAUGCCGUCUACUUUCGUACUAAUUACAGCUGUUCCUCAUUGAAACCCAUUUUUCACUCUCAAUUUUUUUUUUGUAUAACUCAUUACUUUACAUACAAACAAUAUUGUGGAUACUUCCCAUCAAAAGUACACACACGCAGUUAAGUUUCUACAACAUCGUGUAUGUAUGGCUAAGAGCACCCCCAUUGAGGGUUCAUGGGGGGAGUUCACACAAAAACCAAGAAAAAAAAUAAUAAAAUAAUUCAAUCUCAUGAACCCUCUCUCUCCUAAAGUUCUCUUGGUUGAACCCCUCUCUCCUAAAGUUCAUCACUGUAGCGCGGGCCCCACGUGUCGUGGCGGCCCGCGAUUGGUCUAACUUUUUUUUUUUUUUUUUUUUUUUUUUAAAAAAUCAAAAAGGAAAAGAAACAAAUUUUAAUAAUAAAAAACUAAAAAGAUGAACCCCAAGAGGGGGUUCAUUGAUGUGGAUGCUCUAAAGAGUAUAGUAUUAAAAAUGAUCGAAUAUUCGUUUCUUGGAGGUGUGAGAUGUGGCUCCUCUCUCUCUCUCGUUUAGUUUACACUUUACAGAAGGGGCUAUAGUGUCUUUUGCAUAUCAAACAAGAUAUUGGGUGGACUGCUUUUUACUGUUUAGGCGUUACCUUCCUGUUAUGACGACGACUUCCUCCAAACCCGGACGCGCUUUAUGGUUUAUGAGAUUAAUGUUUUUAUUAUGAACUUAAGAGGUUUUUUUUUGCUUUUGUUUUCUUUCAAACUAAAUGUUGUGUGUUAUAUAUUCCGUUUUAUCAUUCAUGAUUUUUUUUUUAACAAAUCACUCGUGAUCUAUUCACUAGGAUUUAUAAGUAAAAAAAUCUCAUUUGAAUGACAAAAUACGUAAUGAAGAAAAGAAAUACAUAGUGAAUCAGGUAUUGAGGUUUAAGGAUAUGAAAACCUAUCUUAAAAAAAACAAGGAAUUUAUGUUUAAAGGUAUAAUAAGUUCAUG
This 1047-nucleotide long non-coding RNA is filed under the name Brassica rapa (field mustard). Its description in RNAcentral is "long non-coding RNA (BRAP_LNC005559)". Lineage: Eukaryota; Viridiplantae; Streptophyta; Magnoliopsida; Brassicales; Brassicaceae. The record is from RNAcentral.